AUGACCCUAGGGUCCAGCUCUUGGCCUGGGGACACAGGAGGGAGGGCUGUAGCUGCAGAUCAUCAGAGGACACACCUGAGCCUUUGGUCUGCAGGCGGCCACGGCCAGCAGGAGGACUGUGGCCCGGUGGCCUGGGGCCCCGCUCACACAGACGCACUCACACUGGCUUGUGUGCUCCUUGGCAAGUUAACUCAAGCCCUGAGCCUCAGUUUUGUCACCUGUACGAUGGCAUCAGCAACCGGACCUACACUGGCCUGCUGUGAGGAUUUAGGGAGGGCCAAGGCAGUUUCUUGCUGUUUAAACUGGGGCUCUGACGAGGGAGAAGUCACAGGAGGGAGAGCUGCCGCUGCAGGGGCAACCUGUGGGACGCGCGCGUGGUGUGGCCUCUGGUCUCGGGCAGGGAAGGGUCAGCCGUGGCUCUGCUGGGGUCCCGGGGGGGUGCUGGAGGCCUUCCCAGGCCAGAUGGGUGAGGUCAGAACCAGACUUCCAGGGGCUGUCCGGCACCUCUGCACUCCGUCUGGCAGUUUGAUACCAAGUGGGCCCUUCCCAAAUCCAUAAGCGGGUCCCUGCAAGCCGGUCCCACUUCAACGCCAGAAGCCUCCCACUGACCCCCAGGGGCCUGUGCCCUUCCUCCCGCCCCACGUCCUCACUGGGGCCAGAUGCGUCAUGCGGUGGUGAAAGUUAUUUGAAGCUCAUCAACCAACGAACCAAGCAAGGCUAAAUCCAGCAGCAGGCUGCCACCGCAAGGGAGUUUAUGGGUUUGAACUCGAGCUGCUUUCAGUAAUGAAGAAAUCCCACCCUCAGUCACGGGGCUGGGCAGCCAUUUCCACAUCUCUCCAGCCCCAAGACGUGCAGGAAAGCCAGUGUGGGACUUGCCAAGGGCUGAGGACUUCUGCCACCUCCAAGGGGGUGCGGGACAGUGAAGACGCACAGGCUCGGGUGGGGCGGGGGCACAGGUGGUUUACAGAAGCGUCUGGCAGCACAUACUGUUUUGCACCUACUACCAGGAGCAACGAUGCCAACUCUCUUGGGAUAGAAAACCAGGGUCAACCCUGGCUCUGGCUUCUGACCACAUGCCUGCUUUGAUCCUGCCUUCCCAGAACCUCAACUUGCAGCCUCCCAAGACCUUUCCCUAGAGACUUUAGGUUGCUCAUACAGGGUGUGAAAGCUUCAGUCUAAAUUACAGGGCGUGCAGGUGGGGACAUCUCUCACCAGGUCCCCCGGCCACUACCAAGCAUGUGGUCUUUGGUAAGGGUCAUCACUGCUCCCUAGACCUUGAGGGACUGGGCUUCAAAGGAGCAUCCUCAUCACACAUGAAGUUGAUGCUUUAAAAAAAAAAAAAAAAAAAAAAAAAAAAAAAGUUCCUGUCACGGCUCAGCAUUAACAAACCCAACUAGCAUCCAUAAGGACAUGGGUUUGAUCCCUGGCAUCACUCAGUGGGUUAAGGAUCCAGCGUUGCCGUGAGCUGUGGUGUAGGUCACAGACAUGGCUUGGAUCUGGCGUUGCUGUGGCUGUGGCGUAGGCCAGGGACUAUAUAGCUCCAAUUCAACCCCUAGCUUGGGAAACUCCAUAUGCCGCAAAUGUGACCCUAAAAAGACAAAAACAAAAACAAAAAAGCCCGUCUUCUGAGAAGGAAAUCGGACAGGAAGCACCAUUACAAAUGGGUAUUGUAUCAUAGCUUGUUUCAGAGCUGACUUUGCUGACACUUCCUCAAAAUAAAACCACAAGGUUUGGUUUGGUUUGGUUUGGGGGUGGGAUGGACAUGACAUACAAGACAGUUGGGGGUGGGAUGGGACGGGAGACACGACAUACAAGAUGGUUGUUGACUGAACUUCCCACAAGCUCUGCUGGUUUCCGCCCACUGUGAUUUGCCAACAGGCCACCGUACACUGAGGGACUCGUGAUGUCUCAAUCUGGCUACAAGCUGCUUUCAAAUCUAACCCCCUCCCUUUUUUUUUAAUGGCCACACCCAUAGCAUAUGUUAGUUCCUGGACCAGAGAUCGAAUCCAAGCCACAGCUGCAAUGCCAGAUCUUUUAACCCACUGUGCCAGGCCAGGGAUCGAACCUGCACCUUUGCAGUGACUGGAACCACUGCAGUUGGAUUCUCAAUCCACUGGGCCACAGUGGGAACUCCUCAAAGCUAAUCUUUGAGCCAAGAAGGCUAGCAGCCUCCAUGCAAUGUACAAAAGCUAAUCAUCCCUUAGUGCAAACCGGAGUAAAACAGAACCCAAACUGCAGAGGCUGAGGGAGAGCUGCUCUGCUCAGAGUCCAAUCAGAAGGCCGAACGGCCUCACUCGUGCUCAUUCUACUGGACCACAGGGCUGAGCAGAACAGGGAGCAGUUGCUACACUGAAGGAGGCUCAGGUGGCCUCCAUUCCCCACAUCCCGCCUCUCCUUCUCCCCUAUCACAGGGGAACUAGGGCAUUCAGGGGAGAACCAUGCCUCUCCACGUUCAGCGUCCAGAAAGCGGGCUUCCAUUUAGGAAGGGGGCAGCCAACGGUGACAUCGAGAGGCCCUUGGUGCAUAACAAGGAUCUCUCCACUCACGGAGAAGCCACCCAGGGCGUUGAGUUUGUGUCGAGCAGGGCCUGAAGUGUGGACACUGGAAAGGUCUCAUCACAUCACCUUCCUCGUCCAUGGACCUUUUGGUCCUUUACGGGAAGGAGAAAAACAGCCGAAAUGUGGCUGGAAGGAUGCUCAGAUAGCCAGCUGACUGCAAAAGGGAACUGGCUGCCCGCUGUAGCAGACAGUGCCACAACCCCGGGCCAAGUCCGGCCGGCUCCUCCCAGAGGUGAGACUGCGGCCACUACUUGAUUCCAAGGCAACUUGGGCACAGGACGUCAACGCUCAGUCCGCUCAACCUCGCUUCAUGCACCUUUAUGUGAUUCAGACCGUGCUAACUGCUAAAAGGGCUAAGCUUCUGCACACCGAAGGGCCUGAGGAGCAGUAGGGAGGACAAAGGCUGCUCAGCUCUCCCCACCCGCCCCCGAAGCCCAGGGCUUGGAGCCCGGGUGAGCACGCGGCCACCACUACCUUCAGAGGUAAAACUCAAUCCUGCAAUUCCUUUAGUUUUACCAUUUCUGUUGGAAAUUUAUUCAAGAUGAAAGCUGUCCAGAAGCAGAGGCUGGAUUUGGUCAUACAGCCCACACUCCAGUGAGUCACUCCACUGUAUUUGCUGGUGAAACACAGUUUAGCCAUCAAACGAUCACGGCAUCAGGACGCUGUCUCCGAAACACCACGCACAUUAGAAUUACUCAUGAGAGCUAUCUGAGCUCUAGUUUUUCAGUCCGGUCCUUACUGAUCUGAUAAAGCCCUCGGGGACCAAGUUUUACACCCCUCACCCUGCAAAGCAUCAGCUAUUCAUCGACUGGCACUGCUUAUUCACUAACAUGGGUUGCCGAAGGCUUGUCCUGAGACAGUUCCUGGGCUCUGAAUGAGCAAACCAGUUGACAUUCCACACACUUUUUUUCCCAGCUUUUUAGGGCUGCAGGUAUGGUACAUGGAAGUUCUUGGGCCAGGGGUUCAACUGGAAUUGCAGCUGCAGGCCUAUGCCACAGCAAGGCCAGAUCCGCACCCCAUCUGUGACCUUAACCCACCCAGUGAGGCCAGGGAUCAAGCCUAUAUCCUUCCUCAUGGUUACUAGUCAGGUUUGCUCCUGCUGAGCCAUGACGGGAACUCCCCAUUUUAAAUAAGCUGAUGGCCCUAAAACCAGGGCUAAUUUUAUUUAUUUAUUUGUCUUUUUGCUAUUUCUUGGGCCGCUCCCGCGACACAUGGAGGUUCCCAGGCUAGGGCUUGAAUUGGAACUGUAGCCACCGGCCUACGCCAGAGCCACAGCAACGCAGGAUCCAAGCCGCGUCUGCAACCUACACC
Molecule: long non-coding RNA, 3869 nt
Filed under: Sus scrofa (pig)
Lineage: Eukaryota; Metazoa; Chordata; Mammalia; Artiodactyla; Suidae
Description: lncRNA (ENSSSCG00005003801.1)
Source: RNAcentral